GGGAUAAUAGUAUAGUGGUCAGUACUUCUCGUUGUGGUUUCACAGCGAUCCGAGAGGACCCAGGUUCGAUUCCUGGUUAUCCCA
Trichocladium antarcticum is the source of this 84-nucleotide non-coding RNA. Lineage: Eukaryota; Fungi; Ascomycota; Sordariomycetes; Sordariales; Chaetomiaceae. The record is from the annotation of a GenBank genome assembly.